GUCUACGGCCAUACCACCCUGAACGCGCCCGAUCUCGUCUGAUCUCGGAAGCUAAGCAGGGUUGGGCCUGGUUAGUACUUGGGAUGGGAGACUGCCUGGGAAUACCGGGGCUGUAGGCU
Ribosomal RNA from Myotis lucifugus (little brown bat), 119 nucleotides. The record is from Ensembl. Lineage: Eukaryota; Metazoa; Chordata; Mammalia; Chiroptera; Vespertilionidae.